Molecule: transfer RNA, 75 nt
Filed under: Isachenkonia alkalipeptolytica
Lineage: Bacteria; Bacillati; Bacillota; Clostridia; Eubacteriales; Clostridiaceae
Description: tRNA-Asn
Rfam family: tRNA
About the family: Transfer RNA (tRNA) molecules are approximately 80 nucleotides in length.
Source: RNAcentral
UCCAGGGUAGCUCAACGGUAGAGCAUUCGGCUGUUAACCGACAGGUUGGAGGUUCGAGUCCUCUCCCUGGAGCCA